This 251-nucleotide long non-coding RNA is filed under the name Elaeis guineensis (African oil palm). RNAcentral describes it as "long non-coding RNA (EGUI_LNC066150)". The record is from RNAcentral. Lineage: Eukaryota; Viridiplantae; Streptophyta; Magnoliopsida; Arecales; Arecaceae.
AUGGUCAGGGGGAAUUUAUUGCGAAGGGUAGUGGAGUAGACCCGUGGCUAUUGCUAUGGCCUGCCACGUAGAGCCUGUUGCAGGUAGUGGAGCGGCGUCCGUUGCCGCUAGUUGUUAGGGAGUAGUGGAGUCGCGCAGCACCUGCCGCAGGGAGCGGAGCAGAAUCGUGGCUGUUGAUACAGCCUGUCAGAGAGUAAUGGGUUGCGUAGGGUUCGCCGCAGGGAGUGGAGCAGGGCUGCGUCCGCUACUGC